CUAAAUAUAGGGUUCCAGCUCCAGUGCGAGACGCAGAGGUAAAAGCCUGCUGCACCCCCAUGAGUCCAGGGACCCCCAGGAGAGACCCCAGGACUCCCGAUAAGCUCUAGCCUUCCUGCAGAUGCACCAGUUCCACUCCUUUUCUGCCGGGAAUCCCCCACUGAUCGUGCUGAGGACUCUGCCCGUCUGCCAGCUCCAAUGAACACCUGGUUCAAACUUCACUGAGUGAUUAUUUCUCCAGUUUAUUCAGAUCAUUCUGGAUUCUAGCCCUGAUCUCCAAAGUGUCUGCAACUCUACUCAACUUGGUGUCAUCCAGAAAUUUGAUGGCUGUCGUAGAAGACAAGAGGCCAGCGGUUCCCCUGACUGAUUGGUCCUAGAAUCUCUCUCAGGACAAGUUCUAGCAGCAGGAAAAAAAAAAAAAACCAAUGAGGAAAAAUAAAUCUUAUGACCUGAUUAAUACUACCCUGGGUGGAGCCUUCACAGGCCCUUAUACAGGGAUAUUCUUAUUGGCAGUAUCCCAUGUCAGAUUUCUAAAUAAGCUUGUUAAUGUAUGAAAAUGUAUGAAAUGUGGAAUUCUAAUGUAUGGAAACUGUUCUUAAAGUUACAUGGAUACAUUAAAACUUUAAUUGUUCAAUCAUGUGAACUCUAAAUAAAAGGCUUUUAAGCCUGACAGAAUAUUUUCUGUUAUUACAGCAGAUCCCUCGUGGAAGCAUUGAUGGGCACAUCUUAUACUUAGUUUUAAUUAAUCCCCUUGUGUAAUGAGAUCUGGCUGCCUCUCUCCCAUGCAGAAACUCAAAGUGCUUUUUACAUUACAAGGUAUGAAUAUACCUCCCAAGGCAAAUAUCAAGAUGAUACCAGGACAAAGAAGACAAAUGAAAGGAUCUUGAAGUCAGUAACUGGGCAGUUGGGAAUACUUAUGAUCUUUCUUGUCAUAUCUCCCCAUGUUUCUUUCAUAACUUAGAUGCUGGUAUCCAGGAAGUCCUGGGUAAUACUGGGAGCAAGAAAUAGUUAAGAAAGAUGAUUUUGUUUGGGGCUGGCAUUAGGUGGGAGGGAAAUAAAAGCAGAAAUGCAUAUUAUGUGAUUAAAAUUGUUGAGAAAUAAAUAUAGAGGAAAGAGUUACCUGGAGAUUCACAUAAAUCAGCAGUUGCAUUUGCAGAUGUUUUACAUACAUUGAUGAAGUUACUCCUGCCCUUCCAUGAACUGGUGAGCAUCUUGCUAAAAGAUACAAAAGCAAUUGAAAUAAUUUUUCAUUCAUUUUGGAAGACACUAAUUAUCAUAUUUACCUGAAUCCAAGAUUAUCCUAAAUUUAAGACAACCCCCCAGUCCAUAGAUUCUAUACAUAGAACAUUUAUAAAUGUUAUAGUUUUCCAUGUAGCGAAUCUAAUUAUUCACUCACCUUACAUUCAUCUUAAAUUCUUCCCCUCCACCACUGUAAGUGGAAGGGGGACAGGUGAUAU
Long non-coding RNA from Alligator mississippiensis (American alligator), 1457 nucleotides. RefSeq lists it as uncharacterized. The transcript has 4 exons. Lineage: Eukaryota; Metazoa; Chordata; Crocodylia; Alligatoridae. The record is from RefSeq and is a predicted model, not a curated record.